AAAUAGAUUGUGUCCAUAAAAAUGAUCACGCGACCAAUAACGAAGAAAAAUGUGAUCUUUCAUUGUGGGCUCUGUAAUUAUUUUACCCAGCUUCCAGCCACACAUAUCAAUCUUUGGAGGAUUUCUGACAAAUGCUCCACACAUGAUUCUAUCAUCAUCCCAUGAAGCAUCAUUAUUGACAAAAAUGCAACAACAAACAACUCCAAUCCAUUGAUUAUCUUUCCGAAGGUUGAUAGUGUUGUUCCAAUAGGGUCAGAAGCGUGUAAAUUAUUGUACUAAAAAAUCACACAAAGUUCAAUUCCCAGGGAAGAGAGGUGGAUCACAUGGAUCUCUUAAAUACCAAGUCUUUCCUUAGACAGAAUAUCCCUUCUAACGUAAUUUAAUAGCACAAUUAAAUACUACUAUUAUACCCUCAAAUAUUGAAAGAAAAAUAGGACAAGAAAGAACACAAGAGUUUUAACAAGGUUCGGUAAAUUAUACCUACGUCCUCGGGCACUAACACCAGAUGAUAACUUUACUAUCUCCAAAAUAUUACAAACAAAUAGAAUUCCUUAAGAAUUCUCAAAUGGGAGAAGAGAGAAAACUAAGAUAGAAAGAUUGGUUGGGAUGAAUUGAAAUGAGAAAUGAGAAGGCCUAUUUAUAGUUGAGGUUCAAGGACCAAACAAUAAAUAGCCCAUUAUCUCAAGGACCAAAAAAAAAUUAUCCCUUGCCACUUUUCCAAAGUUGGUGGUUGUCAUUAUUGAUUGUCUCCCAUUAAUGUUAAUGGCAACCAUUAUUAAUUGUCUUCCAUUAAUGUUAACAAUCUCCACCUUGAAGAUUUGAUUAGGAUAAUCACAUCUUCACACACUUCCUUCAACUCCCCAAAUUCGAUAAAGCUAUCUUUUGUAGUGCCUACAAAUGCGCUCUCGAGCGCCAUACACUUGAAGGUGCUCAAAUUCUCAGGAUGUUAAUCAAGUUCAAACAAUGAUUAAACUUGAUUGUUGUUACCACCUUGGUCAUCAUAUCUGCGGGAUUAUCUGCUGUCGGAAUCUUCUGAAGUAGAAUUUUUCCUUUUUCAAAAACUUCCCGCACAAAGUGAUAUCUUACGUCGAUAUGCUUGGUUCUUGAAUGAUAGACUUGAUUUUUCGCUAAAUGAAUAGCGCUCUGACUGUCACAAUAUAAACUUAUGUGACUUUGAACAACUCCUAAGUCUUUCAACAAUCCAUUAAGCCAAAUAGCCUCCUUAACAGCUUCUGUAACUGCCAUAUAUUCUGCCUCUGUAGUAGACACAGCUACUGUAGACUGUAAGGUAGACUUCCAACUCACUGAGGCUUUCGCAAGAGUAAACAGAUACCCCGUAGUUGAACGACGUUUAUCUAAAUCACCAGCAAAGUCGGAAUCAACAUAUCCAACUACAAACUGACCAAGUGCUUCAUCCUGUUCAAAAAUUAAACCAACAUCUACGGUUUUUCGAAGAUACCGUAGAAUCCAUUUCACAGCUUGCCAAUGUCCUUUUCCAGGAUCAUGCAUAUACCUGCUCACAACUCCAACAGCUUGUGAAAUGUCAGGCCUCGUACACAGCAUCGCAUACAUCAAACUCCCAACUGCAUUAGCAUAUGGGACUUUCGCCAUAUAUUCUCUUUCAUCUUCAGUCUUCGGAGAUAAUUGAGCACUAAGUUUCAAAUGAGAAGCAAGUGGGGUACUUACAUGUUUUGUGUUUUCAUUUACACCAAAACAUUGUAAUACCUUUUUCAGAGAUUGCUUCUGAUUUAAAUAGAGCUUGCCUCUCGGUCUAUCUCUACUUAUCUCCAUGCCGAGAAUCUUCUUGGCCUCACCUAGAUCUUUCAUCUCGAACUCUUGAUUCAACUGAGCCUUCAGCUUAUCUAUCUCAUUUUGGCUCUUCGAAGCUAUUAACAUAUCAUCAACAUACAAGAGUAGAUAAAUGAAAGAUCCGUCAUGCAGCUUCUGCAAAUAUACACAAUUGUCAUAUUUGCUUCUUGUGUACUUCUGCCUUCUCAUAAAGCUAUCAAAUCGCUUGUACCACUGCCUCGGGGAUUGCUUCAAUCCAUAUAGCGAUUUGUUCAGCUUACAAACCCAAUUUCUACCACCAGCAUCUGUGUAUCCUUCGGGCUGAGUCAUAUAGAUCUCCUCUUCUAACUCACCAUGCAAGAAAGCCGUCUUAACAUCAAGUUGAGCUAGCUCCAAAUUCAACUGUGCUACCAAGGCCAACAAAAUUCUAAUGGAGGAAUGCUUCACAACAGGGGAAAAUACAUCAUUGUAGUCAAUUCCCUCCUUCUGAGCGUAGCCUUUAGCUACCAAUCUUGCCUUGUAGCGAAUAUCCUUCUUGCUAGGAGAUCCAUCUUUCUUUGCGAAUACCCACUUGCAUCCGAUUUCCCUUUUACCUUUCGGUAAUUGCGCCAACUCCCAAGUAUUGUUCUUCCGGAGAGACUGCAUUUCUUCAUCCAUGGCGCUUUUCCAUUUAUCACUUUCUAAGCUUUGCAUUGCUUCUUGAUAAGUGAUAGGAAUAUCAUCAACAACGGGAAGGGCGUAGGCCACCAUAUCAGUAAAUCGAGCAGGUUUACGAAUUUCUCUCUGUGGCCUUGCAACUGCAACUGGUUCUGGUGUACUUAGUGGUUCUUGGGUCAGAACCUCUUCAACCUCUAAUUCUUCCAUUGUGGCUGGAGAAUUAGACUUAUUAACUGGGCAAAUCCCCAUCUGCUCAAACUCCACCUGUUUUGGAGUACACUCCACCUGCUGUGGAGUAUUGCUCGUCUGAAUAUCUUUAUCUGCUACCUUUUUCAAUGUCGCAGAUUCAUCAAAGGUAACAUCUCUGCUACAGAUCAUUUUCUUUGUGCUUAAGCACCAAAGACGAAAUCCCUUCACUCCAGAAGUGAUUCCCAUAAAGAGAGCUUUCUUUGCCCUCGGAUCUAACUUUGACUCAUUCACAUGGUAAUAUGCAGUGGUUCCAAACAUAUGUAAGGAAUCAUAAUCUGUCGCCGGUUUUCCAGACCAUACCUCCAUAGGAGUUUUUCUUUCUAAUGCAGAUGAUGGCAAACGAUUAACAAGAUGGCCAGCGUAUGUCACAGCCUCAGCCCAAAAUUGCUUGCCCAACCCAGCAUUGGACAACAUACAUCGAACUUUCUCCAGCAAUGUUUGAUUCAUACGCUCUGCCAAUCCAUUCUGCUGUGGUGUAUCCCUAACUGUGAAGUGUCGAACAAUACCAUACUCUUGGCACACAUCGAAGAACGGAUCACUUUUAUAUUCCCCUCCAUUGUCCGUCCUAAGCCGCUUGAUUUUCUUGCCAGUCUGGUUUUCGAUCAUAGUUUUCCAUUUAAGAAAAACUCUAAGCACUUCAUCCUUAGUUCUCAUGGUAUACACCCAAACUCUUCUGGAAAAGUCAUCAACAAAAGUAACAAAGUAGUGUUUUCCUCCCAAUGAAGGUGUCUUGGAAGGCCCCCACACAUCUGAGUGAACAUAUUCUAAAAUACCUUUUGUAUUAUAGAUAGCAGUACCGAAUUUCACUCUCUUUUGCUUUCCCAGAACACAAUGCUCGCAAAAUUUUAAUUUGCAAGCCUUUGCACCUUUCAACAAUCCUUGCUUUGCCAGAAUUUGCAAGGAUUUUUCGCUGGCAUGUCCCAACUUCAUAUGCCACAACUGCAUUGAGUCCAAGUCUUUGUUACUGGAAGCUGCAGCGACUGCUCCAAUAACUGUACUACCUUGGUAGUAAUACAAGUUAUUUUUCCUGAUGCCCUUCAAUAUCACAAGUGCGCCAGAUGUCACUUUCAAAACCCCAUCUCUCAUAGUAACAACUGAACCAUUGGAUUCCAAGGCUCCUAAUGAGAUGAGAUUUUUCUUCAAACUGGGCACGUACCGAACAUCAGUCAGAACUCUGGUUGAUCCAUCUUGAUUCUUUAAUUGGAUUGAACCUAUCCCAACAGUUUUACAGGCAUUGUCAUUGCCCAUAUAAACAACUCCUCCAUUUAGUUCUACUAAAUCAGAGAACCACUCCCGGUUAGGGGACAUAUGAUAGGUGCAACCCGAAUCCAAUAUCCACUCAUCUGAAUGGAACGACGAUGAUGAUGCAACCAGUGAUAGUUCAGAGUCACUAGUAUCAUGCUUUGCAACACAAGCAUCUACAGCAGCUUUUCCCUUAUUCUUCAGCUUUGGACAAUUUUUCUUCCAGUGGCCUUUCUCAUGACAAAAGGCACAUUCAUCUUUCCCGAGUCUGGACUUUGACUUUGAUCUCCCCUUUUGAGUUUUCUUCCGAGGGUAUGAACGACCUCGGACUACUAAAGCUUCUGUAUCUCUGAUUGAGUUUUUCUGUUUGUCCUUCUUUCUCUGUUCAUAACUGUAUAAGGCCGCACAGACUUCGCUCAGAGAUAUAUCACUCCUGCCAUGAAGUAGAGUAGUUUCUAGGAACUCAAACUCCUCAGGAAGUGACCCCAACAGCAUCAAAGCCAAAUCUUCAUCUUUGAAUGUCUCAUCCAUAUUCAGCAAAUCAGUGACUAACUGAUUAAAUUUGGUGAUGUGAUUAUUCAUUGUGGUACUUGGGACAUAUGUGAAGUGAAACAGUCUUUUCUUCAAGUGGAGCUUAUUUUGACUGUUUUUCUUCAAAAAUUUUUCUUCAAGUGCCACCCACAACUUAUUUGCAGAAGUCUCAUUUGAAAAAGCAUACCUCUGCUCUCGAGAAAGGCAUGAUCGAAUUGUGCCACAUGCCAACCGAUUGAUCGCCUUCCAAUCUUUCUCCUGUACAUCAUCUGGUUUCUCUUCAUCAAUGGCAAUGUCUAGACCCUACUGAAAAAGGGCAUCUAGAACCUCACUUUGCCACAUACCAAAAUGGCCCGUGCCAUCAAAGAUCUCCACGGCCAAUCUUGCAUUUGCAAUUGUCGGUCUUGUCCACAUGGACGAUGUUGAAGCUCCUACACCGAUCGUUUUCUCCAUAAUCUUUCAAUAUACCUAAGGAAAUCUUUUCUGAUGUGGAAGAUCAGUUCAAACUGCAACCACAGAGCAUACUACGAUUAACCUUCGGCUCUGAUACCACUUGUUAUUCCAAUAGGGUCGGAAGCGUGUAAAUUAUUGUACUAAAAAAUCACACAAAGUUCAAUUCCCAGGGAAGAGAGGUGGAUCACAUGGAUCUCUUAAAUACCAAGUCUUUCCUUAGACAGAAUAUCCCUUCUAACGUAAUUUAAUAGCACAAUUAAAUACUACUAUUAUACCCUCAAAUAUUGAAAGAAAAAUAGGACAAGAAAGAACACAAGAGUUUUAACGAGGUUCGGUAAAUUAUACCUACGUCCUCG
Molecule: long non-coding RNA, 5276 nt
Filed under: Gossypium barbadense (sea-island cotton)
Lineage: Eukaryota; Viridiplantae; Streptophyta; Magnoliopsida; Malvales; Malvaceae
Description: long non-coding RNA (GBAR_LNC010986)
Source: RNAcentral